UCAGUUCAGAUUGCAGGCUGCAACUCGCCUGCAUGAAGUCGGAAUUGCUAGUAAUCGUAGGUCAGCAUACUACGGUGAAUACGUUCCCGGGCCUUGUACACACCGCCCGUCAAACCAUGAGAGUUGGCAACACCCGAAGUCGGUAGUCUAACCGCAAGGAGGACGCCGCCGAAGGUGGGGUUGAUGAUUAGGGUUAAGUCGUAACAAGGUACC
Molecule: ribosomal RNA, 213 nt
Filed under: uncultured bacterium
Lineage: Bacteria
Description: partial 16S ribosomal RNA
Rfam family: Bacterial small subunit ribosomal RNA
Source: RNAcentral